AGCGAUCCUCCUGCCUCGGCCUCCCAGAGUGCUGGGAUUACAGGAACAGUAACAAAAUCUGAGACCCUUCCAGAGUCAAACUGAAACACUAGUUCUUCCUGUUCUCAAGCUGCCAGCAUCAGGACUAGAACUUACACUGCCAGCUCUCUCGGGCCUCCACCCUGCUGACCCACUCUGCAGAUCCUGGGACUUGCCUGCCUCCGAAACUGUGCGAGCCAAUGCCUUAUCUGUUUUUUAAUAAAAAACUAUUGGUUCUGUUUC
Microcebus murinus (gray mouse lemur) is the source of this 261-nucleotide long non-coding RNA. RefSeq lists it as uncharacterized. Lineage: Eukaryota; Metazoa; Chordata; Mammalia; Primates; Cheirogaleidae. The record is from RefSeq and is a predicted model, not a curated record.